Molecule: ribosomal RNA, 505 nt
Filed under: uncultured bacterium
Lineage: Bacteria
Description: partial 16S ribosomal RNA
Rfam family: Bacterial small subunit ribosomal RNA
Source: RNAcentral
AGUGAACGCUGGCGGUAGGCCUAACACAUGCAAGUCGAACGGCAGCACAGGAGAGCUUGCUCUCUGGGUGGCGAGUGGCGGACGGGUGAGGAAUACAUCGGAAUCUACUCUGUCGUGGGGGAUAACGUAGGGAAACUUACGCUAAUACCGCAUACGACCUACGGGUGAAAGCAGGGGACCUUCGGGCCUUGCGCGAUUGAAUGAGCCGAUGUCGGAUUAGCUAGUUGGCGGGGUAAAGGCCCACCAAGGCGACGAUCCGUAGCUGGUCUGAGAGGAUGAUCAGCCACACUGGAACUGAGACACGGGCCAGGCUCCUACGGGAGGCAGCAGUGGGGAAUAUUGGACAAUGGGCGCAAGCCUGAUCCAGCCAUACCGCGUGGGUGAAGAAGGCCUUCGGGUUGUAAAGCCCUUUUGUUGGGAAAGAAAUCCAGCUGGCUAAUACCCGGUUGGGAUGACGGUACCCAAAGAAUAAGCACCGGCUAACUUCGUGCCAGCCCCGCGGUAA